This 451-nucleotide ribosomal RNA is filed under the name uncultured bacterium. RNAcentral's name for it is "partial 16S ribosomal RNA". It matches the Rfam family "Bacterial small subunit ribosomal RNA", at positions 354 to 796 of the family's 1533-position model. The record is from RNAcentral.
GUGGGGAAUCUUAGACAAUGGGGGAAACCCUGAUCUAGCCAUGCCGCGUGAGGGAAGAAGGCUUUCGGGUCGUAAACCUCUGUCAGAAAGGAAGAACCUCCCAAGUCCGAAUAGGGCUUGGGACUGACGGUACUUUCAAAGGAAGCACCGGCUAACUCCGUGCCAGCAGCCGCGGUAAUACGGAGGGUGCAAGCGUUAAUCGGAAUCACUGGGCGUAAAGCGCGCGUAGGCCGCUUUGUAAGUCGGACGUGAAAGCCCUCGGCUCAACCGGGGAACUGCGUUCGAUACUGCGAGGCUUGAGUCCUGGAGAGGGUGGCGGAAUUCCGGGUGUAGGAGUGAAAUCCGUAGAUAUCCGGAGGAACACCGGUGGCGAAGGCGGCCACCUGGACAGGUACUGACGCUGAGGCGCGAAAGCGUGGGGAGCAAACAGGAUUAGAAACCCUUGUAGUCC